AAAAGGUAACUCCCAUAACAUUCAGAGUCACUGUAUCCUUGACCAACAUGGAAGGGCUAGCCCUGAGAAAAUGAGGUCAGCACACAGUGGUAUCAUGCAUCAUUUUGUGUGUCAAAAAACACCCAUAAAAGUAGUCUAUUAUCAUCAAUGACAACUGGACAAGCACUGAUGUUAAAAUACUGGGUUCUCACUACAGUGAACUGACAUGGCAGAUACUCAGACCCACUCACAACAGCCCAGCGCAAAAGCCUUGUGGUGUGUCAUCCUCUCCAAGGGCUAAUCAGAAACAGAGAUGAAAGAAAGGAAGUGAUAACAAUUGUGCAAAGUAAAUCCUAUUUUAAAGGGGGUAAUGAGGCUCAGGUGUUAUUUUGUUUUCACAGCAGUGAAACAACUGCUGUUGUGAACGGUAAAAUACCUUAGCUGUAUUUUCUCUGAAUAACAUAUUUUUAUUUCUGAUCAGUCUCCCAGAAAUACCCAUGAGACAAAGAUGUAACUACUAAACUAAAAGGAAAACAAUGAAAAUUCUAUUGUUUCCUCUAUUUCUGAAGCAGUAUUAUACUCAUGAUGCAUUAUUCAGCUAUUAGAAAUAAAAAAAAUAGCCUAAAGUUUU
RNAcentral lists this long non-coding RNA (610 nucleotides) under Bos taurus (domestic cattle). RNAcentral's name for it is "long non-coding RNA NONBTAT004716". Lineage: Eukaryota; Metazoa; Chordata; Mammalia; Artiodactyla; Bovidae. The record is from RNAcentral.